UCCUCGGUGGCUCAGAUGGACAGAGCGUCUGCUACGAAAGCAGGAGAUCCGGGGUUCGAGUCCCCGUCGGGGCA
Schistocerca piceifrons (Central American locust) is the source of this 74-nucleotide non-coding RNA. NCBI's taxonomy places the organism in Eukaryota, Metazoa, Arthropoda, Insecta, Orthoptera, Acrididae. The record is from the annotation of a RefSeq genome assembly.